RNAcentral lists this ribosomal RNA (179 nucleotides) under uncultured bacterium. Its description in RNAcentral is "partial 16S ribosomal RNA". It matches the Rfam family "Bacterial small subunit ribosomal RNA", at positions 524 to 701 of the family's 1533-position model. The record is from RNAcentral.
UACGGAGGGUGCGAGCGUUAAUCGGAAUUACUGGGCGUAAAGCGCACGCAGGCGGUUUGUUAAGCAAGAUGUGAAAGCCCCGGGCUCAACCUGGGAACUGCAUUUUGAACUGGCAGACUAGAGUCGUUGGAGGAGGGGGGUGGAAUUCCAGGUGUAGCGGAUGAAAUGCGUAGAGUGAG